RNAcentral lists this ribosomal RNA (464 nucleotides) under Pomacea papyracea. Its description in RNAcentral is "partial 16S ribosomal RNA". It matches the Rfam family "Bacterial large subunit ribosomal RNA", at positions 1848 to 2566 of the family's 2925-position model. The record is from RNAcentral. Lineage: Eukaryota; Metazoa; Mollusca; Gastropoda; Architaenioglossa; Ampullariidae.
GGGAGUCUAGCCUGCCCGGUGAUUGCAAAUUUAACGGCCGCGGUACCCUGACCGUGCAAAGGUAGCAUAAUCAUUUGCCUUAUAAUUGAAGGCUAGCAUGAAAGGUUUAACGAAAGCUUAACUGUCUCUUGUGGAAUAGAAUGAAAUUAACUUUUAAGCGCAAAGGCUUAUAUCCUACUAAAAGACAAGAAGACCCUAUUGAGCUUGAGAGGUUCUAGUAGAGUUAAUGUAUAAAAUAUUCUUGCAAAAUUUUAGUCUAUUAGACCAAUUUAGUUGGGGCGACUUAGGAACAAUAAAAGCUUCUUAGAUUUUUAAAUAUUUCUAAAUUGUGAUCCAAAAGGUUUUGAUUAGCAGAAUUAGUUACCAUAGGGAUAACAGCAUAAUUCUUCUUGAGAGUUCUAAUCGAAAGAAGAGAUUGUGACCUCGAUGUUGGACUAGAAUAUCCCAAAGGUGCAGAAGUCUUU